UACGUAGGGCGCAAGCGUUGUCCGGAAUUAUUGGGCGUAAAGCGCGCGCAGGUGGUUUCUUAAGUCUGAUGUGAAAGCCCACGGCUCAACCGUGGAGGGGCAUUGGAAACUGGGGAACUUGAGUGCAGAAGAGGAAAGUGGAAUUCCGAGUGUAGCGGUGAAAUGCGUAGAGAUUUGGAGGAACACCAGUGGCGAAGGCGACUUUCUGGUCUGUAACUGACACUGAGGCGCGAAAGCGUGGGGAGCGAACAGG
RNAcentral lists this ribosomal RNA (253 nucleotides) under uncultured bacterium. Its description in RNAcentral is "partial 16S ribosomal RNA". It matches the Rfam family "Bacterial small subunit ribosomal RNA", at positions 524 to 776 of the family's 1533-position model. The record is from RNAcentral.